GUAAGUAUAGUUUAUUCAAAACAUUAAAUUGUGAUUUUAAAAAUAAGGUUUAAAACCCUUUACCUACC
RNAcentral lists this transfer RNA (68 nucleotides) under Hypogeophis brevis (Mahe caecilian). Its description in RNAcentral is "Grandisonia brevis (Mahe caecilian) tRNA-His". It matches the Rfam family "tRNA". Rfam says of the family: Transfer RNA (tRNA) molecules are approximately 80 nucleotides in length. Their secondary structure includes four short double-helical elements and three loops (D, anti-codon, and T loops). Lineage: Eukaryota; Metazoa; Chordata; Amphibia; Gymnophiona; Indotyphlidae. The record is from RNAcentral.